AAGCGCCUAUGACCAGACUUGGGCCCGGUGAAUCAUCCAGCGUUCUCGCUGGUGCACUUUGCCGGGCACAGGCCAGCAUCAGUUUGGCGCGGGGGACAAAGGCUUCGGGAAUGUGGCUCCCCUCGGGGAGUGUUAUAGCCCGUUGCGCAAUACCCUGCGCCGGACUGAGGUACGCGCUCCGCAAGGAUGCUGGCGUAAUGGUCAUCAGCGA
Molecule: ribosomal RNA, 211 nt
Filed under: Parengyodontium album
Lineage: Eukaryota; Fungi; Ascomycota; Sordariomycetes; Hypocreales; Cordycipitaceae
Description: partial large subunit ribosomal RNA
Source: RNAcentral